Molecule: ribosomal RNA, 200 nt
Filed under: uncultured Glomus
Lineage: Eukaryota; Fungi; Glomeromycota; Glomeromycetes; Glomerales; Glomeraceae
Also listed under: 1 other name
Description: partial small subunit ribosomal RNA
Rfam family: Eukaryotic small subunit ribosomal RNA
Source: RNAcentral
CCAAUAGCGUAUAUUAAAGUUGUUGCAGUUAAAAAGCUCGUAGUUGAAUUUCGGGAUUGACACAUCGGUCGUGCCUUAAGGGGUAUGAACUGGUGUAGUCAAUUUCUCACCUUCUGGAGAACCGCAAUGCCCUUAAUUGGGUGUCGCGGGGAACCAGGACCUUUACUUUGAAAAAAUUAGAGUGUUUAAAGCAGGCAUUU